Molecule: long non-coding RNA, 806 nt
Filed under: Cavia porcellus (domestic guinea pig)
Lineage: Eukaryota; Metazoa; Chordata; Mammalia; Rodentia; Caviidae
Description: lncRNA (ENSCPOG00000032521.1)
Source: RNAcentral
AUGCUCUGCACCAGAACCAGCCCGCUGAACUGGGGCCAGCAGCCUCUCGAGACCUCUCCGCGGCUCCCACGGGCCACGUCGAUGACGUCACGUCCGCUCCCAGGAGUCGCUUCCCACGGGCUUGACGAACAGCAUGGAUUCCUAAACCCACAGGGCAGAGGUUGCUCCGGGGGCCGCGGCGGGGCGCUAUUCGGAGUCAGCUGGGACAAGUGGUCUAGGCGGGGCGGAGGGGAAUGGCGCGAGUCCCAAUCAGCAGCCAGGCCUCACUGGCAGUGGCACUCCCAACCACCUUUUCGGACUGCUACUGCAGUGGCCGCAGCCUUAAAAAAAAGGCCCAGCUGCUCUGAGACGUCGCUUCCGGUGUUUCCUGCUCUGGGGAAAGGAGGCGGCGCGCCUGCGAGUGGACGGCGAGACCUGCACUGGAGAACGAAUGCGCAUGAGAGGUGUAGAUGUCCCUCAGCUGACUGUCAUCAGUAUAUGUGAUGUGAGCUCACUGAUCAGUGACCUUUGUGACCAGCCUGGUAGGAUAGAGCUUAUACAUGGAAGCCCCAAAAUUACAGAACACCUGUGUGCAAAAGACUGGACAGCGCUGACUGACCCACUUAUAUGGCUGCGACACAGACUCCUUUUUCCCUGGCAUCCUAGAAGGUAGGUGGAUACUUUCUAGCACUCUUUGCCUUGCAUAGGGCUCAGUCAUUUACCCAUGAGAAUUUACCAUUUCUGGAAAAGCAUCACAGUAUGACAUGUUAUCAUUAAAGGAAUCCUGUUCUUUAAAACAGAAAUUAUCUUCAUAGGAAUGUUCCCUA